Molecule: non-coding RNA, 251 nt
Organism: Schizosaccharomyces pombe (fission yeast)
Lineage: Eukaryota; Fungi; Ascomycota; Schizosaccharomycetes; Schizosaccharomycetales; Schizosaccharomycetaceae
Source: the annotation of a GenBank genome assembly
UACAAUGAAUAGAGUAUAUCAACUUUAAUUAGGUCCGCUUGCGACUGUAUAUUCCAAAAUAAUACACAAUUUUUCGAAUUACAAUAAGAAACCGUUCACUUUAUAAACUGAAUUUUGGGAAUUAUUAUAUAGACCAAAAAGGCUUUGAAAAAGAAAUAGCUAGCGCAAAAAACCUGUUUUCUGCAACCGAUAACUUUCGUUUUAGGUAUAGAGUGUUGAGUUGAAGCCCAAAGUUGUGUGUUACCUAAAGU